RNAcentral lists this ribosomal RNA (253 nucleotides) under uncultured bacterium. RNAcentral describes it as "partial 16S ribosomal RNA". It matches the Rfam family "Bacterial small subunit ribosomal RNA", at positions 524 to 776 of the family's 1533-position model. The record is from RNAcentral.
UACGGGGGGUGCGAGCGUUAUUCGGAAUUAUUGGGCGUAAAGGGCGCGCAGGCGGUUGAAUAAGUCAGGUGUGAAAGCCCUUGGCUUAACCAAGGAAGUGCAUUUGAUACUAUUUGACUUGAGUAUGGGAGAGGGAAGUGGAAUUCCUGGUGUAGAGGUGAAAUUCGUAGAUAUCAGGAGGAACACCGGUGGCGAAAGCGACUUCCUGGACCAAUACUGACGCUGAGGCGCGAAGGCGUGGGGAGCAAACCGG